UACGAAGGGGGCUAGCGUUGCUCGGAAUCACUGGGCGUAAAGGGCGCGUAGGCGGCCUGAUCAGUCGGGGGUGAAAGCCUGUGGCUCAACCACAGAAUGGCCUUCGAUACUGUCGGGCUUGAGACCGGAAGAGGUAAGUGGAACUGCGAGUGUAGAGGUGAAAUUCGUAGAUAUUCGCAAGAACACCAGUGGCGAAGGCGGCUCACUGGCCCGUAACUGACGCUGAGGCACGAAAGCGUGGGGAGCAAACAGG
Molecule: ribosomal RNA, 253 nt
Filed under: uncultured bacterium
Lineage: Bacteria
Description: partial 16S ribosomal RNA
Rfam family: Bacterial small subunit ribosomal RNA
Source: RNAcentral